Molecule: ribosomal RNA, 473 nt
Filed under: uncultured organism
Description: partial 16S ribosomal RNA
Rfam family: Bacterial small subunit ribosomal RNA
Source: RNAcentral
ACACUCCUGCGGGAGGCAUCAGUGGGGAAUAUUGCACAAUGGGCGCAAGCCUGAUGCAGCCAUGCCGCGUGUAUGAAGAAGGCCUUCGGGUUGUAAAGUACUUUCAGCGGGGAGGAAGGCGAUAAGGUUAAUAACCUUGUCGAUUGACGUUACCCGCAGAAGAAGCACCGGCUAACUCCGUGCCAGCAGCCGCGGUAAUACGGAGGGUGCAAGCGUUAAUCGGAAUUACUGGGCGUAAAGCGCACGCAGGCGGUCUGUCAAGUCGGAUGUGAAAUCCCCGGGCUCAACCUGGGAACUGCAUUCGAAACUGGCAGGCUAGGGUCUUGUAGAGGGGGGUAGAAUUCCAGGUGUAGCGGUGAAAUGCGUAGAGAUCUGGAGGAAUACCGGUGGCGAAGGCGGCCCCCUGGACAAAGACUGACGCUCAGGUGCGAAAGCGUGGGGAGCAAACAGGAUUAGAUACCCCGGUAGUCCCA